Molecule: non-coding RNA, 13905 nt
Organism: Xyrichtys novacula (pearly razorfish)
Lineage: Eukaryota; Metazoa; Chordata; Actinopteri; Labriformes; Labridae
Source: the annotation of a GenBank genome assembly
ACACAUACACAGUCAGAGAGAGAGAGAGAGAGAGAAGCAGAGAGAGAGAGAGAGAAGUACGGGAAACGAGGGCAGGGAGGGAAACAGGAACAGAAAGUGAAGACUUGUCAAGAUGUCUAGGUGAGGGGCACCAGAGAAGAGCAGAAGCCAGAUGCCAAAACAGAAACAGUAGAAGUUUGAGCAGCUGACUGGAUCAGACAGGAGUGGAGAGCUGACCUGACACUUCACACGUGCCUGCGGGGUAAGGUACUGCUUUCAAAGAGAUCUUUAGAGCCAGCAACUUGGAGCACUUUGAAACUGUUUCAGGAGGUUUGUUUUGCUGUUGUGGGCUUUUUUGUUUUUGGUGAUUGGGUAAAAGAAGAGAGUCAAAGUCCUGCUACUUUUGCAAACUUCUUCACUGAAAAAAAUGUUCUGCCAGUGUUUGGAUUUGACACGUUGUUUGACAAGUUACAACGAAAUGCUAAUAAGUUUCUUCCUGCCUUUUGAGUGCAGUGGAGCUUCACUGUAACACUCCUUUUUAGACACUCUCUCGACUUUUUGGGAAACAUAAUUGGCCUCAAAGUGAAGUUUCUGAUCAGAAUAAGUUUUAGUUUAUUGUAAACUCUGCAGAUUCUGAAUCAAAAUAUUUCCCUACAGCUUGGUUAAGUUAAUAUUUACUUAUUUACUGAGGGAUAAUCCUUCUUCUUCUCUCACUGUUAAUACGAUAACAUCCGCUUUACAUAUUUCAAAUGGCACAAGCCUGAGCUGUCUUGGCUUGCAUUCUUGCUCAAUGUAAAGGAUUUAAUUCCUCCAGAUUAUCAGCUGUCCAAAGGUAAAAAUAACAGCAGUAACACUGACAAUGAAAAACAAACAAGUGUGGUCUUAAUCCGGUGCUUGUCUGAAGUCAAACUUUCCAUAUACUGCACAUUGAUACCAACUUAUGAGGUAUCUGGUCUGACUGUGCUGCUCGGGGCAACUCAUUAAAGAUUCCUGCCUCGCCUUCUGUCACAACUUUGUCUUUUAGGUCACACAUGGUCCCUAAAAAGCAGCAGGGGCUAAUGAGUGCGAUCAUAACAUUUUUCUCAUCCCCUUCCUGGCUUUGUGUGUCCCAGAAACAGCCUUUCCUGUAUAUGAAUGGCUUCAGAGAGCACAAUGUCAUGAGAAAGUGAAAGACCCAGACAGAGACACAGAAAGGCAUCCCAGUGAGAUGAUAUGAGCUAGGGAAAUAUUUGAAACUUGAGACAAGUUAUUUUUUUGUAUAAACAGAGGUAUAUAUCCUCUUGGCCUGUUAUUUCUUCUUCUUUGCACAAACACCCAAUCUGUCAUUAGCGAUAAUUCAUGCAGUGAUGAAGGCCUACAGAGAAAGAGGCACAAUCACACUGAAAAUCAAAGUAUUCAACUUAAAACAGCUUGAAUAUCCAAAUGGGAAUCUUUAAAUUUAACUCAAACGUUCCCAUUUCACCGACAUAUAGACAAAACAUACAGUGAUCUCAUUCCUUCUCCUUCUAUUCUGAUCAUAGUAAUAAUAACACUCAGUGACUUCUACCUUCCUUUUAAUGGCUUUGCUGGUGAUACAUUAUUAGUCAUCUACUCUGUGUAACUCUCCUCUGAGCUGUUCCUAGCCUUUUGUCUCUCUCUCCUGCAGACUUAUUGCUCAGUGACUCUGGUUUGUUGUGUUGAUGCUGUUUUCAUAAUGUGAGGGAGCUCAGGGUGUACACAGAGGUGCUGCUCAGCCAGCAACAACAUGUUCCUACUGUGGGGUAAAUCAAGAAUAAUGUGGCGGUGACACCCUGACUCCCAACUAUAAUUAGUCUUCAGAUUAGGUGUAAAUUAUGAGGUUUGAAUCCGAAAGCAGUGCAAAUGUUCAAUAAAAGAUAAUUAAAAGUAAAUUAACACAAGAUAACAUUUAGGUAGAUGCUCAUGUACAUUGUUAUUCUUAAUUUAGCCAUAGUUGAACCACUGACAAAGAGGAUGCUACAACAUAUACUAAUCCAUAUGAUGUUUUCACCCUCUGCCUGUGUUUCCCUUUUGUAACAUACAAACGUCGAAUCUGUUAACAGUGCUCUGGUUGCCAUUUGUGUACAUUAGUUGUCUGAGUGGUUUUGACGAAUCCCAUCUGCAGGAUAAUAUUCAGUGAGAAGAGUUAAAGAGCUAAAGCAGGCAGGACUAGAUCACUGUGGUGUUGUGACAUCCUGCACCCAUGCACUGUGGCCCGUCAAUGUAUUUAUCUCUAUAAACAGAAGUGCCACUGACAAGCUGUUCCUCACCAGAAAUGUUAACUUGAGACACAAAAUCUGCUUGAUGUCGUUUUUGCCUAAGCUCAUCAGCAGUUUGUUUUUCUGGAUUACAUCAGAAAUAACUGAUCUCACCUGUGUUUGACAAGUUAGCUAAGCAAAGAAAAAGUUUGCAUAUUUGUGAUUGUUUUCUUAUUUCGCCAAACUUAAAGCUCCUGUGAGGGACUUAUGACUUGUGUGUGCUGAGGAGCAAGUCUAUUGAAACCAUAGACUGUAUAUACUAUGGACAACCUAGUUCCGCCUCCCACCAGUAAACAGAUAUGAAACCAAAAAGCUCUCUGUAAUUCCCCGUUCUUUCUCAAUUUCCUGAAACCAAUAUUGCGCAGUAGUGUUGUACGCACUCCACCACUUGCACAGUAGCGUUGUAUGCAUUCGGUGGAAGAGUCGCUGAGAGUUGCUGUGAUGACGCUCGGCUCAAAAAGUGUAUCCCCCGGGUGAGCUAUGCAAUCUUCGUACGCCCAUAGGCUGUCCAUUCUAUAUCUAGUCUAUGAUUGAAACUUUCAAACACAAGCUUUAUGGGAAACAUAAUAAGCUCCUAACACUUAAAGCUCCAGUGAGUGACUUUUAGUUGUGUAAAUGUUAUCACUCCUUGUGGUUAUAUUGUCAAAUAUACUAGAGUUGUGAUGACAAAAAAAAAAUCAUACUCUGGUUUUAAAAGACAAAUAUAUCAUUCAUUAUGAAUAUUUAAAGUGCAUAUUUAAAAACAGAGCUGUUUCUUCAACCGUAUGGCUGACACCUACCCUUUUGAACUGGUUUCAGGGAUUAAAAAUUAGCAUACAAAAAUCUUCAAUCUUGUUGAUAAUAGUCUUGUUUGAUUUUGUGAGUCAUAAAAAAAAAAAACUAUAUGAGUUUUAGUCAUUUUCAUUAACAUAAAAAAAAUCUUCAUAGGAGCUUUAAAGCCAGUAAAUUUUCAGUAAUUUACGAGGAAAUAGGUUUUGUGUUUCAGAUUCACAUCAUUGAAGUCAGUGAGGCUUCUGUGUGCCCACUAGUGAACUGAGACCAGCCAGCUUUUGUAACACAUGAUUGGACGGUAGCCUGGGGGAUAUGAUGGAGAAAGAAAUCACAGCAUAUAUGAUGUAGACGUAAAUGAAGCACAGAAAAAUAAGUCAUGGUUGGGUGUUGUUGUUGCCACAGGCUAACACCUGGAUCGCUGAAAAGUCGGCACCUGUUCUCAAAUGCAUAUAUUACAAAUAAACAUGGAGGAGAACAUAUUAAACGCCUUUGGGUCUUAACUUUCUUUUAAUCGCUCACUGGAACAGAGGCUAAAAUUGUACUGCUAUUAGCAUCAGUGUACACAAUCCAGCUAUGCUUACACUGAAAUUCAAACAAAAUAACACUAACACCAACACUUUUUAAAACAAAAGUAACCAGAACAUCUCUGCAACAUUUCUAAUCUUCCUUUCAGAAAGUUUAAUUAUGUUCAUUUUGUUGGUUUUGUUUUAUCUCAGGUUUCGUGGAGGUAUGACAGUAAAGACUGAGUCAAAGUGAGACAAAGAUCUGACGCAUUUGUUGUUCACCAGAAUUAUGUCUUUCUUAUGUUCCCGCCCUUUUGGUGAUCUUUGACCUUUAUGCUUAAUCUAGUGUCACAUGGGUCAAAUAUAUCAAUGAAGCAUAAAAAUAACUCAGCGGACCUGUCGAUGCUUUGAUUGAGACAUACGGCUGCAUGUUGUUCUAAAUAGUUAUAGGGAAACAAAAAUACUUCAGUGUCCUAUCUGAAAAUAAAUAUGACAGCAUCAUAUGUGGUGAUUUCGCUCAGACUCUCGUCAGAUGAGACCGCAUCACACCUUGACUUUUUGGUCGCUAGCUUGAGGUGCAAAGCUUCCUGUUGCCUGUUGAGCAAAUGAAUCGGGAGGAAGUUAGCAGGCUUGUGUGGGUUAACUAACACAAGUAUACAGCCAUAUAAAACCAUAUUCACAGGUAACCCCCCCUCUCUGCAAAAGAAGCACACAGAAUGAGAUAAAAAUCUUUGCAGCUCCUGCAUCCAGCAUACAGAAGAGCUCAGUAGCUGAGAGCAAUAGAUAGUGUUCAGAAUGUUCUUGAGACAAAUCUUGUUUGAAGUCAUUUAAAAAACUAAAGUUAUAUGAUAUCAGUUAAAUGAAGACAUCCCUUCAAGGCCACUGACUUAAUCAAACCCCCCAAAAAAAGAAUUGUUACGACUUUUAUCUUGAAGACUGACUUCUUUUUUUCAGACCUCCCUUUCUAUUUGAGGCAGCUCACUCGGUCUUUUCUCCAGGAGGAGAGCAGGAGAUUUCAUCUCAGGCUAGAGGAAAAUGUUACCAUCAGACAUUCAUGAAAAGUUGAGCCAGGUCCCAUCCAUCUCCUCCAAUGGGAACUAUUAGACGAGUAUAUUCAGAUGAGUCCCCAGCAGCAGGUCUACCUCUCACCCUCCUCUCUUCCUUUUCUGUUCCCUGUCAGUCUUUCACACUCUCCGUCUCAACGGGACACUUAAAAAGAUUGGUGCCCUCUAUCUCUGUCUGGCCUCCCUUCAGACACAAUCUCCCUCCAUUUUUCUCUCUCUCUCCCGGUCUCUCUUUGCGCCCCUGUCUUCCUCAGCAGGACUCGUAGUGAGAGCUGCCCUGAAUCCUGAAUGACUCCCCUGCAGUAUUAAUGAGGAGAAAGCUGAAAAUCUGAAACUGACAUUGACAAGAGCUAGAGGAGGAGAGGGAGGCGAGAGUAGAGAUGUUAAAGACAGAGACAGAAAGAUGGAUUGGAGGCAAGGAAGGAAAAGAGCGGAGGACGUAGACGAGCUGUCUGCUAGAAAACCAAAUGUCUCUGCAUGUUCACUCUCUCUUUGUUUUUCUGUUCCACAGACACGCCAAAAUCGAACGUCUAUCUGAAAGCGGAGUAAACCAAGACGAAAGCCAAAGGGCAAGAGGAUAAGAGGAUUCUGGGGAAGACAAAGAGCAAGAAAACACUUUGAGAAAUGCCAAGUAGCAUAAACAAACUUGGCUGAAGUGCAGGUUUGGGCUUUUUCAUCCUGCAUCCAGAUCAGGAACAUUACAAGUGCAGGUUUUCAAAGCACGCUUUGCUGUUGACAAAAUAAGCUCUUGGAUUUGUUUAAAGAACAUUCUCGCUUUGAAAAUCACCUCAUGGGACUUGUGGAGGAAGGAAGCAGACUUGAGGUCACCCUCGAUUCUCCCUGUGUUCUUAUUUAACGAAAAACCACCCUGGAGCCUUAAAGGUAGAUAAAGCCGGGGCUGCUCGUGACACUGAUGAUUAAAAAUAGCUGAUGAUCGUUUGAGCUGUCUAAAAUAUCUCUGCUGACAGCUGUUGGAGCCGCUGAUGAACACUUAGAGAACUUCAAAGCUGGAUUCAGAUUACACAGAAGAACUUUUAUCUUAAAUUAACACCCUAUCUUAAUUAUUUCAGUGUCUCCAGCAGCCUUAUAUGCACAUUUACUGACUUUCAAACUUCACAAACCCUCCAAAGGAUUUAUUAAAACUUUACGACUACCAGACAGAGUUAAUUAAAAGGAGCCACGGCUCCGUAUCUGAACGCCAUGGAUGGAAAAACCGACAGCAUCCAGGAGUUUUUUAACCAACUCUGGAGCUUCGCCACAGAAAAACACAAUCAGGGGGUGUACAACACGGUCUGUCUGAUCGUCCUCCUGACUCUCCCCCUGAUCGUCCUCCUCACAACCCUGGUGGUGUGCUGUCACUGCUGCUGCUGUCGCCAUGCCAACAGCUGCUGUUGCUGCUGCUGCUGCUGCGGAGACUCUAUGGCAACCGCAAGGUCGGAAACAAAGAAGAAGAAGAACUCAACCAACAAUACGGAGGACCUGUGGAUCUCUGUUAAGGCGGAGCCAAUGACACCUGACCGGGUUGCUCUAGCCAUGGUGUAGAGUGCGGAUUUUUCUAUUAGUUUAAGACAGCUGACCUGACUUAAAAGACUUUUAACAGAGACUUUUAAAAGUCUCAAACUUUUUGGGACUCCAAGGAGGCUAAAGACAUUACUGAACGGAAUGAAAAAGACCUCCAAAGUGUGCAUAAUUGUUUAAAAAUAUGAAAACUGUGUACAGAUUCUUGUAUUUUUGUAUUCUUUUUAUGUAAAUUUGGGACAAUGUUUACAUUUUGUAUGACCUCUUCGCUGUUUGGUACAUUAUUGAAGAAAUAUGUUUUUGAAAAGGCUCAAACAAACUUUUGCAUGUAUAUAAAGAUGGACAUUGUGAUUCCACCUCCUCCCAUUGUAUUGAAGUGAAGCCAAAUAGCUCCAGAAGAUGGGCCCUGACAUCUUGCACCUGCAGGAGACUUUUAUUCGAGUCAGAGUCUGUGCAUUCGGGUUCAGCAGUGGUAUUGACAACCCAACCUUUUAGCUAAUGAAAUCAGACAUUUAACUUCCAGCCAAAACAGAUGAGAUCACUCUGGUCAGUAAAGAGCCAUACUGCUGCAGUCAGUACAGGAGCUUUAAAUCUUUGGCUUCAUCUUUUGUUAACUGUCAUACCUGCAAAUGUGUGUGUGUGUGUGUGUGUCCGUGUGUGUGGCAUUGGAGAGCAUGUGUGUGUGAGAUAGAGAGGAGUACAGUGUUAUUGAGAGCACUUUGUUCUCAGAGCUCCCUUGUGAAAUUCAUUGAGUCUGUAUUUGGGAAAGAGAGCCAAUUUAAGCUGUGCCCAUUGUUCAGACGGCUGUAAUGGUGUCUACUCUUCACACUCUGGGCUGGUGAUUGACUCUUUGAAAAGUUAAAGCCUCUGCCUUCCAAAAAGUUUCACAGGACACUGAGAGAAGACUUUUUUUUACUGUUACUUUACUUUUUAAAGAUUGAACAGUGUAGUUAGACGCACUUCUCUUCAUUUUGAGAGUGUUGUAUUCAGCUCCCGUGGACUUUCAGGUUGACUUCGUAGUCCAAAAAGUGAAAAAGAAAUUUGUUAUCUGUCCUAAUUCUUCUUUGAGUUAACAUUUGGGAAAAAUCAAUGUAAAAUUCAUCAUGUUUACCAGACCUGUAUUUAUUAAAUCCUUGCAUUAAAGUAAAGAAAGUAUAAGUGAAGAAACUGCACUUUGUUUAAAUGCUUCCAACAUUUCAUAACUUGGUCAAGUGAUAAACAUUUAUUUUUGCAACACAGACACAGACAAGAUACUUUUGAGGGAUUAUCCAUGUUUAAAACGACAUAUGGUUUUGGCUCACUAUUUGCAUUUUGAUUUGAGUCUGUUUGCGUUGGCAGGGAUGCAAACAGCACAAAGGACUCUGAAAUUGAUUCUGUCUGCGAUCCUUGUUUGCCGUCUUCACUGUGUGCACAUCAACAGCCUCCAUCAGCAAAUGCUUCUUCCUACAUUUUGGUUUUCUUUUUGUUUUUCAUUGUCGCCAGUUUUAGUCACUUCAUCCCUUUAUGUGACAAAUUAAAGCCCUUUUGAGGAGUUUUUAACUGGUUGUGAAACAGAUCGAAAUUUAUUCUGUUGCUUCUUUAUAACCUUCAGAAGUAAAUGAGAGCAUUAACAAUAAGACUGACAGUUUCUAUAUUUUAAUUUUCGAUGCCUGGAACUUCUGUGAGGAACUAGAUGUCAGACCAGACGAUUAACAGCCCACUAAAAAAAAUUGCCUUUUACUUUUCCGGGCAAAUAGUGACAUAUUUGACCAUUAAAACAAAAAAGCAGAAUGAGACAUUUUAUCAUAGCAGUACUUUGUUUGUACAGGACAAGGUCAGCACAUCGAUUAAGUCUACAUCUUAAAGCUCAUUUCUUACUCUCCUCUGACAUAACUUCUCAUCCUGCUGACUUUGGACAGUUAAGUGCAUCAUUUACUAUAAAUACUUCAGUUUAAACAGGGUACAAACAGAGCGGUGUCUUCAGCUGCUUGGCAGACACCUAAGAUGAACUUAAUAGAUCUCCAAAGGGAAAUUCAUUACCUACGCCCUCACAGUGGAUUUAGGCAUUACAAAUUGCAAUAUAAAUAUCAUUGAAGUUGUUGCAAACAGUCAGACUUGCUGUUAAUAAUCUUAAAAAUGGAUCAGUAUAGAUUUUUAUUCAGUUUUAUAAACACCAAAAACCCUCAAAGGAGCUUUAAAGUAAAGUCAAAUAAACCUCAGUAAUGUGACACACUGUAGUCACCACUCAGCCACAGAUCGGCCUGUAUUUCAAGUUUAUAUCACACUUCAUAUCCUAUAACAAUGCUAACAACAUUAGCAUACAGCCACUUCCUCGUUUCAAAAUCACACUUUCAGUAGGGAAAAGAGGAAAUGAAGUCUCAUUAUUGACUUCUUUGGACACUCUGGUGCUUUUGUCAGUGUCUACUUUCACAUCAUGUUAACAAGCCAAUGCAUGUUUGAGUAGUGUGCAGGCUGAUGGUGUUAUAGUUUAAUGAUUGACCCUGUGAACUGUCGACUUUCUGACUUUAAUGCUGACAGCUACACGAGCUUUUGCCUUAAAGGUGCUAAUAAUAAAACAAAGUCUCUCCUUGAACUGUAACACUGAUGUCCACACCUUCGUCAUUACAAGCUUUGAUUCAGCUGCAGGAUGAGGAAUUCAAGUUUGUGUGGCAGCAAUUUUUGUUAGCUUGAAAGUGGAAGUGGAUGCUAACCCUGGCUGUGUUUUGAUGUUAGCUAAUGGAUAUGACCCAGUGUCUCGCCGUGAAAUGACCAAUGCAUGUCAAAUAGUUAAAUUACAUACAAUGAUUUUACAUAAAAACAACACACGAGUUUGCUUACAGUGUUUCCUGCUUUAACAUUUCUAAAUGCAAGUUGUCACAAAAAAGGUUUAAAAAUAAGUUUUAAUCAACAUUUUUUUCUAUUUAAUCAGCAAACAAACCCUGAAAUGUUGGUCUUCAAGUGGAUUGUGCCUGAUGGUUGGUUUUCAUUUCUAAGUCUAUGACAUCCCAAAGCCCAAUUAAGCAGGAGUGUCUCAGUAGUACAUUCAUCUUUAUGCAUUAGCUUACGCUGGCACUGAGUUGAUCUCCUAGCUCAAGUGCUGCUGGGAAAACAGGCGCUGUUCAUUUCAUUACUGCUCAGACAGAUUCAUUCCCAUGUGAAAAUUUGGGAUUGUCUCUUCUGUUUCAUGUUCAGAGGGAGAAUCUCUUCUUGUUGGGGCUUAAUUUGGAGGCUAGCCCUGCAAAAGCCUCUGUAGCUACACAUGAUGACUAAUAAGCGCUUAUGCCUGAACUGAGCGGGUGCCAAAAAGUAACAUCAUUUACGAGUCUUGGAGUUGGCUGAACAUGUUAAAUAAAGAUGAAUGUGAAAUCGUGUGAAAGAGAUAUUUACAAUUAAGUCCUAUUCUGAAAUUUGAUUCAUGUCUCAGUGGAGAGGUGAAGUAAAGGCCAGUCGCUGUUAGCUGUAGUUUCGCAAAAAUAAGAACAGAAACUGAUGAGUCUGUAGAAUUAUUUCUCAGUUUUGAAAAGUUACAUAAGUUUGAUGAGUUUGGCCUCAAUAUUAAUAGCUGUGUUACUUCAUGUUCUGAGAAUAUCACUUCUGAGAGAGAUGUUCAAACUUUUGGGGCUUCCUGCAUUGCUAUAGCAUGUGUAGCAACAGAAACUUUAUUUGAUGACACUGUGUACUGUCCGACGAGCAACUUUGGAGGCGAGAAGAUACUUUGGGUCAAGAGGUGACUUUGGAGAAAGCUGAUUCACUGAUGGGCUCGAAGAUUCAGUACAGCAGAGUGUUUUCUGCUUCUUUUGUUCUCCACACAGAUUGAUUUCCAGUCUAGUUUUCCAGUGCUAGCAGGCCACACUAAUUCAACUUCGAUUUGGUUCUGCAUCGAGAAAACGUGUUUGUUUUUUAACAGGGAAAAAACUAUUUUUUCCGGACUUGAAGUUUGCACACUUGGCUAAAGGAGCUUGCAGCAGGUUUUAUCUCAGGCUUAUUUACAGAAAUGUGUACUGCAGUUUCUUAUCAGUACAUUAGGAGAUUAAAGCAUGCAGAAUAGCAACUUUUAGGCAGAGUCAGUGUCCUAUAUUUAUUUGAGAGUGUUGUAUCAGCGCCAUAUUUCUUUGGCAAAGCUGGGGAUAGUAUCCAUUUUCUAAUCUAGUUUUAAAUAUCUACAACACUGAGGAAGAAAUCUCUGAAGCUUUAUCUGACUUUAUGAGUUUUCGAUGCAAAUCUCGUGUCCUAUACAUGGGUUUACAAACCAAAUGGAAGACAAGCAUUAAGUUAUAUAAAACAUGUCAAAUAACUAAUUUUUGUAUUCUAUGAAAUGGUUAAGAUUUAGCCAUGGAUUCAUCAGAUUUACUGCUAAUUAAACACAAUUGCAAAGACAAAUAGGGCCAGACAUGAAUAUAAGAUCCUAAUGAUCCAAUUUAAAACCCAUCAAACAGCACUGUGAGUGUUUACAGUCAUGUUAAAUAAAAUAGAUAAAUAAUGUAAGCAUCAGCUGUUGAUACGAUCCUUUGGUUUCCCAUUAAGACAUUUACACCAUCCUCGCAUUUCUGCACAACACCUGUUAGGCGAUAGUUGCUGGAUUUUCUUUUAUCUGCUCUCACUUAGAACAUUUUUUUUUUCCUCCAGAGUUUGCCAGUCAGUAAGCGUCAAAACACAGAUGGUAUGAAAUAUAGCGCAUAAAUAUUUAUCUAAUUUUUUCCUUUCUGUUACUGCGAUCACAGGGAACAGAGCCCGGAGGAUUUAUCAUCUGUUUGAACUGAAAAUUUGCAGCCCUGCCCUGGAUAGUUUUCUUUACAGUAGCACCUUUUUUGAUCUUAUCCAAUUAUGCACGACAUCAAUGUUUAAUUUCUUUUUGCCGUUGUUGUUUUUCACUUGAAAAAAAAUGCUUAGAGGUUCUUUUUUUAUUAUUACAAGCAUGAAUGGCUCUGUUGGCAGCUGUGCAUGCAUAAUUUAUUCUGACAUAUAGAGACACAAUAAUAAAGGACGGCGCAAUGAGGAUGAUGACAGGGAGAAAAAAUAAAGUGUUUUAUUUUUUUUUCUACAGCUUUUUCAAUCUCAUCUGUCUGUUUCUAAAUCAGCAAAGCCAUAACCUUUUGAAAUGAAGUCAUUAUGUGUUAAUGUGUUUGAUAUUACGCUGGUACCCUCACGCACGAUUUCAACAUUAGCAGGUAAGAACUUCUUUUAAUUAAGAUAGACUGUUUACACAUUUGACUAAAACCCCAUGAAACAUAACUGACUCAGACAAAACGUGGUGCCAAAAAGCUGCAUCUAUGCUAGAAAAGCAUCUCCACAGAAUAUGACAUCUGUUUCGCACGGUUUGAAAUUGAACCUGACAUCAUUUACUGCAAUGAAUCAUGUUAAAUUAAUAUUCUUAAUGAAUCAGGAGGAUUUUUGGUAUAAAGUUUGUAAAUCUUAAACAAAACUGAAAGCAAGGCAAUUAAAAAAGCCAUCUGCCCCUGGUGGUCUUUAUGAACAUAUAAUUAUCAUCACCAGCUUGAUGGCCGUAGAAAUCUUUGAUGCAAGUAAUCACUUUGGCUUCAGGAUUAAUUCAUCUUUGACAAAUAUAAAGCUCAGACAUAGACUGGGAAAUUUUUCCAUCCCACAAUUCUUAACCUGAGGUGGAUACCGGCUGUUGUCAGAGUAUUUGCAUAACUUACAUCCCAGAAUAUAAACAACGUGUUUGUUUAUUUGAUUCUUUUAGGCCUAAGGUGUCUUUGAGAAAGAUAUAUCGUGGGUUUCUCUUGUCUUCUUUUUAGUGUGAUAUUUUGAGGGCGGAAAAAAGGGAAACCAACUCCCUGACAAAUUGUCUUUAUCACUGGAGUGCCUCGCCAAGGUGUGACAAAAUGUAAACAACGAUCACAGUGUUGACAGGAGUUUUUUUAGAUCCUAUUUUUCACGCCAUGAGUGAUGCUGGUAUCAGCGCACAUUUGUGACUCCAUCUAGCAUGAGAGCUACAGUACACUCAAGUCGCUUAUCUACUUUUUAUGACCACAAAGGCUCUUUUUUUCUAAAUCUAUUAAAAAUGUUUUGCCUCAUUUAUUUUGUGGGUCACAAACCAUAUCAAGAGUGAGUAUGUCCCAGUUGUGCCCAUUACACUCCUUGUGUCUCUUGACAGCAGAUUCUAUCACUAUCACACUCUAAAAACUCUUGGGUUAUUUAUCAACCCAAUUCCUGGAUUAUACGUGUCGAGUUAAAUUUCUGGGUUAUUUUUCAGAUCCAUACCCAUUUCUUGGGUCAUAUGGAUUCUAUUGUAACCCAGUUUGAGGGUUUUUUGAAUGGGUUAAUAAUUAUGGGUUAUUUUUCUGAGAGUAACCCAAUAAUUGGGUCAGAACGUUGGGUUUGAUUGACUCUACGUGGUUUCUAGGCAAGAUCCUUGGUGCUAUGGCCUACCUCAUAAACAUGAAAGCGUUACCAUUGAAGCCAAACCAAUUCCCACCAAUCACUUAGAUGAAAGUACAUGGGAAAAUAAGGUACAGGUUGUAAAAGCAAAGCUCCCAAAAAAAGCUCCCCAAAUGCAUAUAACAAUUCAACCCAAGAUCAUGAGUCAAAUUCACUCGAAGAUUGGGUUAAUUUGGAUAACCCAACAUCCUGAGUCAAAAUAACCCAAUAAGUUGUCGGCCCGUUUUCAACCCUAGUGUUGGGUUAAAAACAGCCCAAGUUUUGGGGGUUUUCAGAGUGCAGUACCAUCUUUGUGUUUGAUAGUGAUUUGUAAGUGUCUUGACCAAGGACACAAACGGACAGACUUGGGAUAGGGGGGAAUCAAACCGCCAACCUUCCAGUUAUUGGACAACUGCUCUACCUUCUGAGCUACUGCCGCCCCUGCAGUAGCUCAACUUCAUUGUGGUGCACUGUGCUCUUAGGGCUACUCUAUAUUCUUACAUCUAUAUAUUUAGCCAGUUUAGCAGGAAGAAAACACUGGUUAAUAAUUGGGUUUGAACAGCAACAAACCAGACAGGGAGCUUUUAAACCUCAAGAAAAAUAAAACAAUAAGAAAAUACUUGUUGGGACUGUAUUUCACUGGUAAGGUUUGAUGGGAACACACAUCCUCACUUUGACCGGCUGGUGAAAACACGAAAAAAAAUUAAGAUGAUGGGGUGUCACUUCUUGUAUCAAUAUUAUUCAGAACAGAUUCAUACAAACCAACCAAAGUUUGUCAAGCUAUUUUACUUUCUGCCUGAAAUAUCAAAUACUUAACAUCAAAGUGUUGCUACAAUGGUAACAUCAGGGGGUCAACUAAAGCUCAGACUGUUUUUAGUAGGACCAGACAUAACACUGUUGAAGUACUAAAGAGCUGCUCAUGAUUUCUAAUCUGGCAUGUAAAAAUAGAGUAUAUCUUUUUACUUUGGAGUGUUUUAAAAAAGAUAAGUAUGGCAAAAACAACAGUAAAACUAUGAACGAGCAAUAUUCAUCAUUUCAACCUCCAUAACCUUAGAAAUUUUAGCAGUCUGUUGGUGAAUACUUGUUCACAGUCUUCUUUGUCAGUUUGUUUUGUUUAAGUUUCAGAUUUGUGCUCACUAACAUUACACAUGGUGACAAGAAUGACAAUAAAGACCUUCUGUAAUAUAUAUUUUUUGUUUUUGAGACCUACGGCAGAAAUAAAAUCAUCAAAAUUUCCGACAACCCGGCAAUUACUGUUAAACAAACCAUUUCAAUAGUAUUCAUAUGAGGGAGAAAUGUAGUGGUAAAGCUGUCUGAAGUGUGAGAAGGAAAGGCAAUUACCUAAAAAUGAGUUUUAGAAACAGAAAAGAAAUAAUAAUGAAUACAAAACAGUAUGAUGGGUGCCUAAAACAACAGAGAAAUAAAAAAGGAGGAUCAUCAAAAGUGAGCAAUAUCAGC